Lagopus muta (rock ptarmigan) is the source of this 3085-nucleotide long non-coding RNA. RefSeq lists it as uncharacterized. The record is from RefSeq and is a predicted model, not a curated record. The transcript has 3 exons. Lineage: Eukaryota; Metazoa; Chordata; Aves; Galliformes; Phasianidae.
CUGUGCCCUGCCCAUGGUGUUUGGUUCCUCCCAGCAAAGCCAGAGAGAAGUGACACCAGCUAGCAAACAAAUAGAGAAAAAGACCUAGAAAAAAAUUCCAGGCUGCAUUAAUCCCCUGGCUAUUGUUGGCAUCCUCCAUUUACUCUAAACAAGAAGAAGCAGAUAAGCUCCUGUAUGAAGUAAAAUUGCUGAAAACAGUAGAAGCUACCACCCAGGCAGUUAUCCUAUGAAGAAAAGCUAAAGUAUGUAUUAAGCUGUGGAGAACAAAGACCUUUCCUGGGAAAUUAUUAUAUAUUCAUUGGCUGAAACAUCAACUGAUAGGAGCUAAGUGUUUAAAAGCAAUCAGAAAGCUGGGAAAAAACAAAUAUGCAAUGUGGGUGGCCUCAGGAGAAAGCCAAGAAGGAAAGCUGAGUACCUACUGGAAAAACAGAGUCGGAUUUGUGAGUGGGGGAAUAAGCUUCUGGUGUUUGUUCCAACUGUGUUCGGGGAAAAAGGACUUUGUGUACAUUCUUUGCAAGUAUGUGAGAUUUCAUCAGAGAAACAUGUGGCCAAAGUCAAUAGAUUCUCCUAAUAAAAAGAAAAACAGGUCAAGAUCAUAACUGGUGGCUAAAUGUUUGAGCGGGACAGCAGGUAAUUGAAAACAGUAUUUUUUAAAGUUCGUGUGUUUGCUGAGAAUGUAUACUUCUUCAAGCUUGAGAAGCUCAUUUCAUGUACAUGACUGGCUCAUUGAGGCUCAAGGAAUUGAGGCAUUGCGUAGCUCAGAUCAUCUCUUCCCUACAACCGACAGUAGCAUAAAUCUGGCGGACUUGGAGGGGAACAUACAGCCUCGAAGGAAGGAUGCCUGUACUACAUCUCUCUUCUCCCUUCGACCCCGCUGUGUUCAGUCUACAAAGGGAUUUUGCUCUGCUAUAAUCUUUUUGACAGCUAAUUUGUGAAGGAUAAAGCUACCUGUUCAGCAAUAUCUUAACUUUCCAGAAGUGCAAACUUUGCUUUGAAAAUUUGUUACAGAAUUUAAUUGCAUAUUUAAUGCAACUAAUUGCACUUUAUUUGUGCUAAUUUUAUUGUCUCUGGAUAGGAUCUCUUUUAAAACAUAAGACAGAAAAAAGGACACAUAUAUUCUACUAGUGCCUUAAACAAAAAUAUGCAGACUAUCUAAGCUGACAUGAUGUUUAAAAAUCUCCUAAGUAACUCUGAUCCCUCUCUUCAUCAUUCUCUCAUUCCCAAAAGAAUAAAAGUGAUUAGAACAGCAAACACCUGGCAUGUUGGUCACGCAGCAUGACUUUACAUUGUAAUCAUCUCGUCAAGGAGCUGAAAAUAGCACUGUGCUGCAGUGUUCAAGCAGUUCUGCUUCAGGAAGGAAGACAAUAACCAGCAUUUGGCAGCAGCCUACACACAUACUAACUGUGAGCGAUACAGAAGUAUUCCAGAAAUUGCAUACCUCAUCUAAUCUUGAAAACAUUCACUCUGCUUUCCCUGGCAAUGUAUCACUGAGACCCACACACUUCUUGUCUCCAAGAGAAAGGUGGUGGGCAUUUACUGUGCUGCACACAGCCAUAAAGAAAUCUGUAUAGCAACACUUGCUCCAGCUUUCAGCAAAACAGUGCAUAAAAUUAAAUUAAUUCUAGCAUGUUCAGUGUGCCACAUAAAUUGCAGGAAAGAACAGCAAAAAUCUUUAUUUGAAUGAAUUAACGUGAAUCGUAAGCAGAUGAGGAAGAAAGAAAUCAAAGGUCUUCAGGAAAAGACGGUAGGCUUGAAAUGUGUAAAGAAGCCAUGAGAACCAAUGACAUGUGUUGAUGGGAACUAGAGGAAAACACAAGGUUGUGGUGGGCAGUUCCAGAGAGCUGAUGGUGUAGUAGCAACUGGACUACAUUUCAUGAUUUGUGGCUGCUAGACUGCAGCAAUCCAUUGUAAGCAAUAUAUUUAGACAAGACAUCUUGACAAAAGAGAAUUUCUUGAGGGUGGGAGAAUGACUCAGCUAAUCUGGCAGCAAGGCAGUGUCAUUGGUGGAAAUAGUGAUGCCAUUUGGUGAAAACAGUGAUGGGUUGAUUUAAACACAACACAUAGGGCUUUCAGAACUGGACUGAAAAGCAAAUAGCUUUUGCAGCCUGAGGGAUCACAGAGAUUAAGAGGUUAAAAAAGAGACAAAAAAAGAGUUAAAAAAGAGGUUAAAAAAAUAGACAUUUUUUUUCAGAAGCGGAUGUCAUAGUGACAGAAAUCUUCCUGAGCUUUUUGAAAAGCACCAACACCAACUUUGGAACUUGUCAGUCUCUGUAUGUUUGGUCACUCAUCACACGCACAGCUAAAAAUUCACCGGUGGACUAAAAUGUGCUUGCAAAUUUAUUUUUUUUUUUAUUUUGUCAAUUACAUCUUUCAUUGUGAGAACUUCACUUACACAUUACCUCAGCACAGCCCUCUGUGUUGUAUUCUGCAGAAGUUUUCAUUUAUUGUAGAUGAUGCCUUAGCAUCAUGUUUUACACAAACAUCUAUUGUAUUUUAAUUCUGUUAGCUUGUCUCAGUCCCUUUUUUUUGAGCAAUCUACUGUGUGGUAAUCACAACAGUAGGGUCUGAUCUGUGCUUUUAAUUAAACUAGCAAAGCAGUUUGAUCCCCUGUGUUUUCUUUCAUAUAGACUAACAAGUUUAUUUUCAUUUUUUGGUAGUGAUAGUGAGCUCACAAAAAGUGUAACAAGGUGAACACAUUUGUAAAAUGAAAUACAAGGCACAGGGUUAGCUAACACAUUUUUUUUUUUUUUUCUGAGGAUCUUUUCAGGUGAAAAAUGAAAACCAAAUAGCUAUUUUACUGUGAGAUACACUGAUGUGUCCCAUAUGUUAUCAUCUUUUGGUCCAUGAAAAAGAGGCAAUAUUAGAUAGAGGGAGACAUAGAAAAUAUAUGAAAUUAGGACAUUUAGAAAGAGGCACAUAGCAGCUUAUAGGAAAGGAUAUUAAAGUUUCUGAUGCUUGAAUUCUAUGCAGUGCUCAGCCUCAUUAUUUUCCAGAAAGGGAGAUGUUAGGAAGCUGUCAAAUAAUUACAUUUUAGCAAAUCGUUCAUGUUGGGAAAAGAGAAAAAGAGCAAAAAACUGACCAUAAC